Molecule: ribosomal RNA, 387 nt
Filed under: Triticum aestivum (bread wheat)
Lineage: Eukaryota; Viridiplantae; Streptophyta; Magnoliopsida; Poales; Poaceae
Description: partial small subunit ribosomal RNA
Source: RNAcentral
AUGGUCGACGUCGCCAGGAAAAGUUGUAUUUCUGAUGAGUCCGAUGUCAUUAAAUGGGCCCUGGGUCCCAAAAAGGUCUUUACGACUAAAUCGGUGUAUUCCUUCCUGGAAAGAAACAUCGCAGGGUGCAAUUUUGGGUGGGUGUGGAAAGCUGGCAUUCCUCUAAAGAUCAAAAUCUUUAUGUGGCAGUUGUUCCAGAAUUCUAUUCUUACUCGAGAUGUGAUGAAAAAAAGAGGGUGGAAAGGGAACCCGAAGUGUUCAUUCUGUGGGGAGCGUGAAACUUUCCAACAUCUCUUUUUUACCUGUCCUGUAGCUAAGGUGACCUGGAGAGUUAUUGCUUGCAUGGUCGGCACUGAUUUGUGUCCGAACAGCUUGUGGCAGGCUUAA